RNAcentral lists this ribosomal RNA (136 nucleotides) under Venturia saliciperda. RNAcentral's name for it is "partial 18S ribosomal RNA". The record is from RNAcentral. Lineage: Eukaryota; Fungi; Ascomycota; Dothideomycetes; Venturiales; Venturiaceae.
GGGGGCGACCCCCGUUUAAGAUAUAGUCGGGCCCUCUGGGAGACCAGAGGUAUUCAGUCGCUGGACCCAGUACGCGUUGCUGGUCCCGUGUUGAAGUACGAAACCGUUCCGUAGGUGAACCUGCGGAAGGAUCAUU